CUAAAGAGUUCAAACAAGCAUUCAUCACUGAGCUAACAUGGCAGGUAUAAAUUAAAUGUCAUAAGCCACAGAUCACACUUACUUAAGCUAAAUAUCUUAAAAGGCUUUCUUUAUCCAAUGAUACUCUAAAACUUGAGGACUCUCUCUUCUAGAAAAGAUUGUCAAGAUAUAAGGGAACUCUAAGCUUAAGUAGUUGUAAACUCGUUGGUCAUAAACAUGAUACAAAUAUUUAUUCUAAUGCCUAGAUCCUUAUAAUAAAGGGAUUCAAACUGGAGGUAAAACUUACUUUGGUUAUGUGAAUGUCAAUUAGUUAAUAAUGAUGAAAGGACUCAAUAGAAUCCUUAUAUUCUAACUACAUCUUCCUUGUACAAUUAGUUAGAGAACCUUCUAAAAUAAAGAUUUCAAAUACACACCUUACCUAUGAUAAAUAAGGGUGGUGAUUAUAAUUUUUAAAAAUAUUUUACGUGAAAUUUAACUUACCGUAUUUAUUGUGGAUUCCAAAGCCAACAAUUGUAUCAAUUUAAGGGAGGCAUGAAAUUUAGAGCCUCAAAAGCUUGCAAAAGACAAAAAUUUAGGAAAGAAAAAAAGAACACUAUGGUGGCGAAUCAUAUAUAAAGGCCUUCAACUAAGUACCAUUCGUUAGCUUAUUCUAUCAAUGAAUAUUAUCUAUGUGAUUUUAGUAAAGAUACAUACAAUUACU
This 700-nucleotide long non-coding RNA is filed under the name Carica papaya (papaya). RNAcentral's name for it is "long non-coding RNA (CPAP_LNC008864)". Lineage: Eukaryota; Viridiplantae; Streptophyta; Magnoliopsida; Brassicales; Caricaceae. The record is from RNAcentral.